GGUGUUCCUGGGCCCUGGACUGCAGGUGAAACCUGCAGGAAGCCCUGUCUGUUCUGUGUGGGACCCCCGCUUCCAUCGUGGCCCCCACCACAGAUGCAGCAAGUCCACUCCAGUCCCUGUCCCAGCCUCUGGAGGGGUGCCAGCUCUGACCCCAUCUGGCUCCUUGCCUUUCCCUUGAGAUGUCCAUGGGCCCCCAACUCUUUGACGAGGCCUCAGACACCGGGGAGAGGAUUCCCGGGGCAGCUGAGCCUCAGGCUGGGGGCUUUUCUGUUGUUUCUGCAGCCCCAGGGCCUGGGGACCUCUGCCCAUGGGACCUCUGCAGGCUGGUUGGGGUGAAUGAAUGAUUGAUUGAUGAAUGAAUGAAUGAAUGUCAGUUCAGCUCCCAUUUCACCGGCUGGAAUUUGGGACUCGGACUGGCUUCCUGGCUCCUUAGCUUGCAGACGGCCUAUUGUGGGACUUCACCUCAUGACCGUAGAAACAAUGGACUCACUGAGACCAAGGGUGAGGGGAGGCAAGGCCCGGGUUGGGGCUGAAGACACAGGUUCCAGGCGCAGCUCUGCUGCUCACCGAUGAGGCUUCUCCUCUGUUGAGCAGGUGGCCCCAGUUGGGAGCUAAGGUGUGUUGAUGGGGGCGCUGGGAACCAUAACCUGCCAGCUGUGGCUUGGCCAUCCCCUCUGCCACCGCUUUUCUGCCCAUUAGCCCUUUUCCCUGGAGUCACUCCUUCAGCCAGGUCCUGAAAACUCACACCUUUUGGCCAAGCUGCUGAAAAUACCACUCAGCCAGAACUCAUGUGAUCAUGCCAGCCUCAUUCAUGACACCCCCAAACCAGAAACAGCCCAGGAGCCCAUCAACAGCUUCAUGGGAAAAUGUAAUGCAGUCUAUUCCAUCACUGGACCUUUACGCAGCAGUGAAGACCGGCGAAUUAUAGUCUAUCCAAUCACUGGACUCUUACGCAGCAGUGAAGACAGGUGAAUUGCAGGUGCACAGUAUGGAUGCCUCUCUCAAACAAUCACAUCGAGCAGAAGUGGCCAGGCUUGAUUCUGUGGGAUCUGUGUGGAUCACAAACAGGCAACAUAGAGGAUGGUGUUUUGGGGUGCAUGUUGAGGGAGAGAAGGGGUUCUCUUCAUCACAAUGGCGGCUGGCCUCCAGGAAGGGAGGGACAGUGUCUGAGAAGCCAGGGGCCUCUGGGAUGCUGAAAAAUUCUUUUUCUUCUUCUU
Molecule: long non-coding RNA, 1217 nt
Organism: Symphalangus syndactylus (siamang)
Lineage: Eukaryota; Metazoa; Chordata; Mammalia; Primates; Hylobatidae
Source: RefSeq, a predicted model, not a curated record